GCGGUGGAUCAUGUGGUUCAAUUCGACGACAACCGAGGAACCUCACCAGGGCUUGAAAUGCUGUCGACGAUUUUCUGAAAGGAAAAUCUUCUCACAAGGACGGCAGCACAGGUGCUGCACGGCCCUCGUCAGUUCGUGGCGUGAGUUGUUCCCUUAAGUGGGGUAACGAACGCAACCCCUGUUGCCUGUUAUAUGUGUCAGGCGAGACCGCCCCCCUCUUUGCUCGCGAAGCGAGCAAAGAGAAAUAUCAAUAUAUCGAUAUCUGACUCUUUGCGUUUACGCGCAAAGAGGGGGGAGGAAGGAGGGGAUGACGCGAGGUCAGCGUGGCCCUUUGAUGCCCUGGGCUACACACGUGAUACAAUGGCGCGUACAAUGGGUCGCCAAGGCGCGAGCCGGAGCUAAUCCCAUCAAAGCGCGCCCCAGUUCAGAUUGGAGUCUGCAACUCGACUCCAUGAAGUUGGAAUCGCUAGUAAGCGCAUAUCAGCUAUGGUGCGCUGAAUACGUUCUCGAAUCUUGUACUCACCGCCCGUCACGUCAAAAAAGCCGGAAACAGGUAAAGUUCGUCCUUGCGGCGGAUCAACCUGGGUUCGGUGAUUGGGACGAAGUCGUAACAAGGCAUGGGUAGCGGAAGCUG
This 634-nucleotide ribosomal RNA is filed under the name Candidatus Sungbacteria bacterium RIFCSPHIGHO2_02_FULL_53_17. RNAcentral's name for it is "bacterial SSU rRNA". It matches the Rfam family "Bacterial small subunit ribosomal RNA", at positions 929 to 1514 of the family's 1533-position model. The record is from RNAcentral. Lineage: Bacteria; Candidatus Sungiibacteriota.